GGGUUGUGAGGUUAAGCGACUAAGCGUACACGGUGGAUGCCCUGGCAGUCAGAGGCGAUGAAGGACGUGCUAAUCUGCGAUAAGCGUCGGUAAGGUGAUAUGAACCGUUAUAACCGGCGAUUUCCGAAUGGGGAAACCCAGUGUGAUUCGUCACACUAUCAUUAACUGAAUCCAUAGGUUAAUGAGGCGAACCGGGGGAACUGAAACAUCUAAGUACCCCGAGGAAAAGAAAUCAACCGAGAUUCCCCCAGUAGCGGCGAGCGAACGGGGAGCAGCCCAGAGCCUGAAUCAGUGUGUGUGUUAGUGGAAGCGUCUGGAAAGGCGCGCGAUACAGGGUGACAGCCCCGUACACAAAAAUGCACAUGCUGUGAGCUCGAUGAGUAGGGCGGGACACGUGGUAUCCUGUCUGAAUAUGGGGGGACCAUCCUCCAAGGCUAAAUACUCCUGACUGACCGAUAGUGAACCAGUACCGUGAGGGAAAGGCGAAAAGAACCCCGGCGAGGGGAGUGAAAAAGAACCUGAAACCGUGUACGUACAAGCAGUGGGAGCACGCUUAGGCGUGUGACUGCGUACCUUUUGUAUAAUGGGUCAGCGACUUAUAUUCUGUAGCAAGGUUAACCGAAUAGGGGAGCCGAAGGGAAACCGAGUCUUAACUGGGCGUUAAGUUGCAGGGUAUAGACCCGAAACCCGGUGAUCUAGCCAUGGGCAGGUUGAAGGUUGGGUAACACUAACUGGAGGACCGAACCGACUAAUGUUGAAAAAUUAGCGGAUGACUUGUGGCUGGGGGUGAAAGGCCAAUCAAACCGGGAGAUAGCUGGUUCUCCCCGAAAGCUAUUUAGGUAGCGCCUCGUGAAUUCAUCUCCGGGGGUAGAGCACUGUUUCGGCAAGGGGGUCAUCCCGACUUACCAACCCGAUGCAAACUGCGAAUACCGGAGAAUGUUAUCACGGGAGACACACGGCGGGUGCUAACGUCCGUCGUGAAGAGGGAAACAACCCAGACCGCCAGCUAAGGUCCCAAAGUCAUGGUUAAGUGGGAAACGAUGUGGGAAGGCCCAGACAGCCAGGAUGUUGGCUUAGAAGCAGCCAUCAUUUAAAGAAAGCGUAAUAGCUCACUGGUCGAGUCGGCCUGCGCGGAAGAUGUAACGGGGCUAAACCAUGCACCGAAGCUGCGGCAGCGACGCUGAUGCGUUGUUGGGUAGGGGAGCGUUCUGUAAGCCUGCGAAGGUGUGCUGUGAGGCAUGCUGGAGGUAUCAGAAGUGCGAAUGCUGACAUAAGUAACGAUAAAGCGGGUGAAAAGCCCGCUCGCCGGAAGACCAAGGGUUCCUGUCCAACGUUAAUCGGGGCAGGGUGAGUCGACCCCUAAGGCGAGGCCGAAAGGCGUAGUCGAUGGGAAACAGGUUAAUAUUCCUGUACUUGGUGUUACUGCGAAGGGGGGACGGAGAAGGCUAUGUUGGCCGGGCGACGGUUGUCCCGGUUUAAGCGUGUAGGCUGGUUUUCCAGGCAAAUCCGGAAAAUCAAGGCUGAGGCGUGAUGACGAGGCACU
RNAcentral lists this ribosomal RNA (1543 nucleotides) under Escherichia coli. RNAcentral's name for it is "partial 23S ribosomal RNA". It matches the Rfam family "Bacterial large subunit ribosomal RNA", at positions 1 to 1578 of the family's 2925-position model. The record is from RNAcentral. Lineage: Bacteria; Pseudomonadati; Pseudomonadota; Gammaproteobacteria; Enterobacterales; Enterobacteriaceae.